RNAcentral lists this small RNA (1003 nucleotides) under Lecithaster mugilis. RNAcentral describes it as "eukaryotic LSU rRNA". It matches the Rfam family "Eukaryotic large subunit ribosomal RNA", at positions 125 to 919 of the family's 3401-position model. Lineage: Eukaryota; Metazoa; Platyhelminthes; Trematoda; Azygiida; Lecithasteridae. The record is from RNAcentral.
GGUUGUUUGAUCAUUGGGCAAUGUGGUGUUUAGGUUUGUCGACGGAAUUACUGCUCCACUCCAAGUCCAAUGUUGAGCAUGGCUAACAGACAUGGCCCACAGAGGGUGUAAGGCCCGUGGGAGUGGAGAUCUCGGCAGUAAUUUCUCGGGCAUACCUUGGAGUCGGGUUGUUUGAGAAUGCAGCCCAAAGUGGGUGGUAAACUCCAUCCAAGGCUCAAUAUUCGCACGAGUCCGAUAGCGAACAAGUACCGUGAGGGAAAGUUGAAAAGCACUCUGAAGAGAGAGUGAACAGUACGUGAAACCGCUCAGAGGUAAACGGGUAGAGCUGAACUGCAAACCCGCGGAGAUUCAGCUAGCAAGUAUGACCGUGUGGCCAACAUAGGUGUCUGCGUAAAUGCAGGUCGUGCCCUCGUGGUAUGAUUAGCAAUGCACUCAUGAUGUGUUGUAUGCAUCCGUGUUUGGUGGCCAGCUUGUUAGUGCACUUCUUCCGGGUGUUCAUCACGACCGGCGCUGUCAUCUGUCUGCUGUAGUCAAACCAGUAGUUUUUGUGUCCUUGUGGCGCGAUUCUGUUGGGAUGGCAGGUAACUUGUUGGCUUUCGGGUCUUCAAGCGUAAUAGCCGACUGCAGUGGAACUGUGUGAUGUGUCGGAUAUGGCGGUCUUCGGGCCGACAGUCUGUGAUGUCGUGGUAUGCUCUCUACCCGACCCGUCUUGAAACACGGACCAAGGAGUUUAACAUGUGCGCGAGUCAUUGGGUUAUACGAAACCUACAGGCGUAAUGAAAGUAAUGGUGAGAUCCGGGCACUUCGGUGUUUGGCGCAUCACCGGCCCGUCCCGUUGUGUUGUCGUAGCCUCCGGGUUGCGCGUCACUGGGGUGGAGCAUGAGCGUACAUGUUGAGACCCGAAAGAUGGUGAACUAUACUUGCGUAGAUUGAAGCCAGGGGAAACUCUGGUGGAUGGUCGAAGCGAUUCUGACGUGCAAAUCGAUCGUCAAACGUGAGUAUA